Styela clava is the source of this 2964-nucleotide non-coding RNA. The record is from RefSeq and is a predicted model, not a curated record. NCBI's taxonomy places the organism in Eukaryota, Metazoa, Chordata, Ascidiacea, Stolidobranchia, Styelidae.
UACAUCACAUUUAGUAAUCAAUCAAUCUGCAGUUACGGCAAAAUGAAAUUUAAAUCGGCAUGUGAGCAAUGAGCAUUUCUAAAAUUUGAUGAAUUUCUCUCUGAGAAUCCUAUCGAUGUUCGAAAGCACUUACAUUUGCGGAAGCACUUUCUUCGUUUUGAAGAGACACUUGAUAUAAAUACAGAAAAACUUUUGCACGUUUAAGUGAUGUUAUUGGUGUUUUUUGCAUGUUUUAACUUGAUACAUGACAAAUGAUGAUCAAUGUAUUUGCACAAUAAAAGUGUUUGUUUUGUAUUGCCCUGUUUAAAUAUGUUUGGCAAUAUUGUGGCCCGCGAACAAUGCAAUAAUAAUUCGGACCACUCUGAUCUAAAUGACUGUCACGCCAUAUUUGAAAAUGAGAAAAAUUUUAUUAAAGUUUUAUCACUUAGUUUGCGUUGAGUUGUUGAUGUAUUGUUCAUAGAUGACACCAUGAUUUCAAAGAAUCAUAUUUUAAAACAUAUUUAUGAUUAUAUGUCAUAGGAGAUUGAUAUCGUUUAGAAAAAUCAGGGACGUUCACGUGAACCAUUUACUUUCUGUUCAAGCAGCGUAACGCAAAUUUAACACAAAAUAUCUCAGUAAGAUAUUCUGAAUAUAAUAUAGUCCGCCAUCUUGUUGCACAUACUGCGGGAGCGCCAAAUUUGGUACAUGUGUGAUAAGGAGAACCGAUAUUGGGAUGUACAUCGGCCGGAACAAACAAACCAAAAUCACGAAACACACCUUGUCCUAUAUAAAAUUCACGGCUCGUUGUAAAGGGAGGUUCAAUACAGCAGGCUGAAAUGGACAAAUCGUCGAUAUCAGUGCUCACUAUAGCAAAAGUAAAUUGAAAGCAAUUUCUCGAAAAUUUUCAUUUAGUCGUGUCUCUCGCGCGUUUGAACUACGAGGUAUUAUUUUUUUAAUAUUGAUUUACUUAAUUUUUUGGGGAAGUGUCUAAUUUGUGGGAGACAUCGUGUUAAGUUUAGUUUAUUUAAUUUCGAAAAAUACUGCGCGGGCCACUCGGAACUCUUUGCGGGCCACGGGUUGGACGACCCUGUACAAGGCCAUCGCGCUAUGAAGAAGGAAGCAGCAUUGCAGCGUGGUUUAACUGUAGGUACGGGAACUCGACACAAUCAAGUGAGACAUCUGCACAAUACUACGUAGAAAUUCCUUUUUUCUAAACACUUUUCCAUCUUCAAUUAGUCAAUAUAGGUGUAUUUGUAGAGAUAUGAAAAAUAUUUGAGGGGAAGGGGUAAAUUUAAUGAAUUUGAAAUUUGCGAAGAAGUAAAUGAGAGAAUAAAAGUUGAGAACUUUGGCCAUACAGAUAUACAAAGAUGGACGAAUUAGUGUGGAGCUUAAAUUCGAUAACAACAAACAAAAGCGGGUUAGAUCUCUGGUUAAUUUUCGCAUUGAAUUUUCAUUCGCAAUGAUUAGAAUGUGAGAAAUCUGAUGCUAGGGUCCACCAGGUCAAAACGGCAAAAGUUUUUAACGCUCGUUUCCUGAAACUUAAUGAUCAUUAACCUAAAUUUUGAAUCAGGCAAUGUUCACGAACUCGGAAGUUAAAAAAUGCCGCGUGAUAUUGGUAGUCUGGUAGUCUAUUCAUCAAUUUGAAUCGAUUAGAACGCUUAUAGACAUUCACUUGCACAAGAGUCUCAUUUAGCUAAAUAAAGUCGAGGCUUGAUAAAAGAGUUAUCAAGAUCAAGGGAUGAAUGUCAAAAUUAUCGCUAUCAUUUGUCUUCUGAAGGCUUCUGCUGCAACUAGGGCAAAAGGAGAUGGUGUUUGUGUGGGGAAGUGGAGAAACGGACGUUUCGUCUUAGAAGGCGAUUGUCAAAAUCCUGACUCUUCUGAUGUCAUUGCUCAACUCAAGCGAAACGUUGCUGAUGCUAAAGCAAGAGGUGAUGUAGUAUGAAUUGCCUACUUUUGAAUACUGAAUAUUUUAUGUACUCUCUCCAAGUUUGGUCAACUUUCACUUACAAGUGUGUCAAAUUAGCCGCAAUUUUAAACAUUAGAGCUUAUUUAAAGGGCUUUAGAUUAUUCCAAAAUACAACUCAGUCGGGUAUUACAAAAACUCAUUAGAAUAUAUUUGGACGCUUUAAAACGACUCCAACACAGUAUAUUAUUUUCUAUUUAACACACCACUGCGUAUAUCAAGACGGAGUUCGGAGUCCGUCCGCAAUCUGCGAAUAUUAGCGCAUUCUUAUUUACCUGGUACCUGGCAAGCAACGGCUUCUAUUACAAACUUUUUGAAGAUCGUCUAGAUUACGAAAAAGCUAAGACAAACUGUCAGAAAUUUAGCGCAAAUCUUGCCUCUGUAGGAUUGCGGGAUUCUAAAGUUCGAAGGUGAGGGUGAAAAUUUUAACGACAGAUAAAACCAAUGGCAACGCCUGAAAACAGUGAAUAAGGAUCACAUAACUAGAUCUACGGCACGGAAGAAAAACUGUAAUAUUCGAAAAUCAGUGCCCAUAAGUAAAAACUAGGAUAGAAAAUAUUCAUCAUCAUUCAUUUUCGUUGAUAUUCCGAAACUAUUGAAGCGUUGUUCAUUUUACAGGGAUCUAAUAAAGAUAUUACUGAAAAACUUGAAAAGUGAUGAACAGGUAUGGAUUGGUGUGGAUGAUAUUGAAACCGAAGGUCAGUUUAUCUGGGCAGAUGAUGUGAUUGCAAACCCUCAAUCUACUGAUUGGUGGUGAGCCCAAUGAUUACGGCGGGAAUGAAGAUUGUGGAACGUUAGCACAAGGAAUUGGGUGGAAAAUGAAUGACUCUCCGUGCGAUCAUUCAUAUGCAUAUUUGUGCGAAAGACAAUUAAACUAGUUUCUGUUAUUCAUUUAAAUCACAGUAUUUUAAUUUGCGUUGGUAUUAACUAUUAUUAUGAUCAUUUCUGUCAAAUUUGAUUUUGAUUACAUCGAUUAUAUAUCUAAAAUGACUGAAUAUUCCAAAUAAACUUUUCAAAAAUUA